This 4165-nucleotide long non-coding RNA is filed under the name Homo sapiens (human). RNAcentral describes it as "HSALNT0190975". The record is from RNAcentral. Lineage: Eukaryota; Metazoa; Chordata; Mammalia; Primates; Hominidae.
GGACACUCAUGCAAUAUAUUCUCAAGUCUAUAUCCAGGAUCCAACCACAUUUUGCCCUUACCUCCAUCAUCGUCCUGAUCCAGGCCACCAUCAUCUCUCACCUGGAUUAUUACAACAGCUGUCUAACUGGCCUCCCUGCCUCCACCAUGCCUCUCACCACAAAGCAGUCUGAGUAAUUCUCUUGGAUAUUCCAGGUAGUCAAGUGACUCACUUUUGUCCAGUUACCGACUUUCCAGAAAAUAUCGCCAGUACUGGAAGCUAAGAUUGGACUAUUUUACUGCUGUACAUAAGCAAAGCCUUAAUCUGGCUUUAAGGCUCAAAGAAAGAUUCUACAGAUAUCACUGUUAUGUAUGAGAUCAUAGCAGAGAAGCUCUGGCAAGGUAAUUUGCAGAAUGAAGUAUUUCCUAUUUUGUACCAAACAUGAUGACAUUUAAGCUACUCAAGGGAAAUAUAUUUUUACACUGUGCGAGAUACUCUGUGUUAAGAAUUUUUAUGUGGUACACUAGGUAAAUUCCAUGUAAAAUAAUUUUCCCUAAGAAAUAAAAUGUUCACAAAGAUUCCCUUGUCUGAUUUUAUUUUAAAUCUCAAAAGGUUAAUCCAAAAUUUGACCUUAUAAACAAUACCAGCACAUAGUAAGCCAAACACUUGCAAAAGAAUGUUGUUCUCCAGUGUGCUAAGAACUCUGGGAGUGAGAAGGAAUAGGGCAUCAUUUCCUUUACCUCACUAGGGAACUAUUUAUAGUCCAGCAUUCUAAUGAAAACCCUCGUGACCUGGAAAAGUUAAUGUGCCUUUCAAAGUGUCUUAUUUAUAUCCAGGGAAUAACUCAGGAUCACAUCCAAGAUGUAAACAUGUGUUUUUCUCUCUCUCCCUCUCUCUCAGCUCAUGCACUUAUCUCAUUCAAUAUGAAAGCAAGAAAGAGUUUCAGUCUAUAUUUAUUUUAGUUCUCACUUUACACAGUUGAUGAUUGAAGAUAUUGCAGAAGACUAGCGUUUCACUAGAAACAUCUUUAGGAAAAUGAUGGACCAAAUUUUGGAGAUACUUACAAUCUACCAAAAAAAAAUAAAUCAUGGCAUUUCUCUUCUUAAAACUUAAUGAAAUUCAAAGGUUUUAUCUGAAGAAAAAUCAGUAAAAUGGGAAAUACAGUCCAAAAUAACUUUAAAUGUCAGUUAUAUAUACUUAUGUUAUUUAAAUAAUAAUGUAUUAUUGACAUAAGUGUAUAUCAUAGUUGACAAGUUCUUUUCUUUUCUAGGUGUCCACUUGGGCUUCAUUCCCUUCCAGGAGAUCCUCCUGACUCUCUUAGACUAGCUUAAAUGCCCUUUCGUGUACUCCUUGUCUUAGCAAUUCUUGCCUGGCAAGAAUUCUGUAAGCUAGGUAUAGUUUUGAUCACUAUUUUACAGGUAAGAAAAUUGAGUCCAGAGAAACUGAGCAACGUGUCUAGACAAGAUUACGAAGCUGAACCAGGAACCAAACUCCGAUUGAAUGAUUCCAAACCCAAUACUCUGGCUGCAGAUCUAUUGAGUGGACUUGUCUUCCACUUUAACACUGCAUUUACCAAACAUUAAGAAAGUAGGAAGAUAAGCAAUUAUCUGUUGACUUUGGGUAGUAAAUAUGGAGCAUUGGAUAAUUAUGAUAAUAAGGUCUUGAGCAUUAGUGUGUGCCAAGCACUUGGCUAAGUGUUUAUGUUCAUUCUUUCAUUUCAUUCUAACAACAUCCAGUGAGAUAGAAAUGAUGAGUAUUCCCCUCCACCAAUUUUUACAGUUAAAGAACCUGAGGCUCGAGGAAGGUAAAUAAUUUGCUCAAGGUCACACAACUAAAAGGAGACAGAACCAGGCUCUGUACCCAGGUUGUCUAACUCUGAGUCCACUUGCUUAACCACCAUACAUAUUGCCUAAUCCAAGCCCCAUCCCACCUCCCGCUUCUCCUUAGAUACGUAUUUAAGAGGGUAAGUGUAAACUACAAGAUGAGGGCUGCCCCUCAUUUAUCAUAAUAACUGCUGAAUUCUCCCUUUUUUCCUAAUAUGUAUAGGUAUAUGCUAAGACUUUUUUUCAGACUUGCGUUAGAAUUCCGGUCCAGCCACUUACUAGAUGAAUGACUUUGUUCACAUUACUAAAUCUCUCUGAAAAUACAAGUUGAGUAAUUUGCAGUUUCUGUUUCUCCAUUUGACAAAAAAAGAUGAUAGAACCCAACCAGCAGGAUGGUUGCACCUAAAGUGAAAUCCUGUAAUGGAAACUUCCUAGUACAGAGCUUAGUAGGCAGAAGUAAUUCGACAAAUACCAGACCCAUCCCCUUCCCUCCCCUGAAUGAUAGCUUUAAAUGUAGGUAUUAAUCAAGUACCCACCGGAUAAAGAGAAACUUUCAUUUACUAACUCAGUCAUUCACCUCAAAAUAUUGUUGACUUCUCUUGAAUCUCUCCAGUUAAAGGAAUUUUAAGAUUACAACGUCCCAAAAUUCGUUUUUCUGUCCUACAUCUGGAUGGCAACAGCUCCUUGAACACUUUUCUCUUGGUUUUUACAAGUGUGCAAAUCUAUCCAUAUUUUAAAUGUAGUAUCUACUGAUGAUAGAUACGUACUCUAAUUCCACAAAUGUCUACUAGGUGCCUCCUUUGCCAAGAACCCUUCCUGACCCCAAGAAGUUCAUAGUUUAUUGGGUAAAAAAACACAUGACUAGCUAAGACACUAUGUAAUAACGGUGCCAUAACAAAGGCAUGUACCAACCUCCAUGGGAGCAAUUAAUCUUGCUCGAGGUUUUGAGGACUAGUUCACAGAAGAGGUGACAUUUGAGUUCAGCCACAAAGAAUGAGUCAGCUUCUCCGAGAAUUAAUGAGCAUUCCAGCAUCACAGGCAAAUUUCAAGCAGUAUAUCUUGUUAAAACUGUGACCACAAGAAUGUCCCAUCAUAGAAACUUUUCUCCUUUUGCUUGGUCCAGAUUAUUAAAGACAAAACAGUCAUGAUGACUUUCAGGGUUAAUCCACUAAAGUCACUCAACGAUGGUUUUACAAAGCAAAUGUGUGGUAUUUAAGUUUCCCAAAGACGCCAUCGUGUAGCACUUAGGAUUCCGAACAACGCAAGUUUCUCCUUUGAGAGCUCAUAUAUAAUGAAUGUGUGUUACAUUAAAGAUUACUGAAGAUUGUAAACCUUCUUUUUUGCAUGUGUAAGAUUGGUAGCUUUUAAAAUAUUGAUGCAUUUGUGUAAAUUACCCAACUUGAAUUUUACAACAAAUUCAGAAAAGAAAAUGUCAAAGUUGGACAAAUUUUAAAUGAACUCUCUAUGAAAAUAAAAAAAACUUCUUAAAUAAUAUUUUGAGAUGAAUUGGUCUACAGAGCUCAUCUUGGAUUUCAACAUGUAUGUAGCUGAAGGGUACAGAAAUGAAUUGGCUAUGAAGACUUAGGAAAAGUUUCAAGGUUUAACUAUCUUUGCCUUGUUCUGUAUGUAACCCAUGUUUUCCUACUUUUUGUCCUUAAUCACUCUGUGAAUAUUUUCCGUAAAUAAAUCUGAUUCUCAUCCACAUAGCACCUGCUAUUCUCUCUUCUUCUGUGGCCUCCAUCCUUUGGUUGCCACCAUUUCCAGCAGGUGCUGACAUCUCCUACCACAGCUGAUGCCAUGGAGCCCUCAGAGUGGCAAGGUGUCUCGGUAUUGUGUUGCAUAGUUGGAAAGAAGUUCUCGCUUCCCUUCUUUUUUCUUGGCUUACUCUAGCUUAGGGCAGGAGGUCCAAGGCAGAUGUCCUUGGACCCCAGGGAUGGACAACGCUGUCAGUGCAAGUUUUACUCACAACCUUCCCAUGCUCCCUCUACAGGAUGCAGAUGUCCCUCCCUGAGCCAGAGACAACCUGAGUGACAGCCCCAAACCCCUUCCCUCCAAUGAUCGAAGCUUUGUUUUGGGAUCCAGCUGCUUCUGCCUAGCUGCCUUGCCCCUCUGGACAAGUCCUCACCCAAGAAGCCCUGGGACUAUCACAUAGAGACAGCCUGGUAUGCCAUUUCCCAGAUAUGGCCAAACUACUAUGGACUUCAGAGACACACCUGGCUUGAGAUUAUAGGAUUCUUGAUCUUAUUCCUACUUGCUUCAGUUAUUGAUGAAAAUAGGCUGAGCCUCAUAACAAAUGUUGGAGAAUGCUUAUGUUCACUUUUAUUUGGUUAAGAAUGAAUGAAUAAAUGGAUGAAUGAAAGGAU